Cucurbita pepo subsp. pepo (vegetable marrow) is the source of this 107-nucleotide small nuclear RNA. The record is from RefSeq and is a predicted model, not a curated record. NCBI's taxonomy places the organism in Eukaryota, Viridiplantae, Streptophyta, Magnoliopsida, Cucurbitales, Cucurbitaceae.
GUUAUAAAUGGUACUAGACAUUCGACAAAAUUGGAAUGCCUAGAGAAGAUUAGCACAGUCUCUGCACAAAGAUGAUUAGUAUAAAUCGAAAAAUCAUUCAAAUCAUG